UAUGCCUACGGGGGGCAGCAGUGAGGAAUAUUGGUCAAUGGGCGAGAGCCUGAACCAGCCAAGUCGCGUGAAGGAUGACGGCCCUACGGGUUGUAAACUUCUUUUGUCAGGGAGCAAUUGAGUCCACGUGUGGUCUCAGCGAGAGUACCUGGAGAAAAAGCAUCGGCUAACUCCGUGCCAGCAGCCGCGGUAAUACGGAGGAUGCGAGCGUUAUCCGGAUUUAUUGGGUUUAAAGGGUGCGCAGGCGGAAUGUCAAGUCAGCGGUAAAAUUUCGGGGCUCAACCCCGUCGUGCCGUUGAAACUGG
Molecule: ribosomal RNA, 305 nt
Filed under: uncultured bacterium
Lineage: Bacteria
Description: bacterial SSU rRNA
Rfam family: Bacterial small subunit ribosomal RNA
Source: RNAcentral